This 254-nucleotide ribosomal RNA is filed under the name uncultured bacterium. RNAcentral's name for it is "partial 16S ribosomal RNA". It matches the Rfam family "Bacterial small subunit ribosomal RNA", at positions 524 to 776 of the family's 1533-position model. The record is from RNAcentral.
UACGUAGGGUGCGAGCGUUGUCCGGAUUUAUUGGGCGUAAAGAGCGUGUAGGCGGCCAUGCAGGUCAGCUGUGAAGACUCGAUGGCUCAACCUCGAGAUGUCGGUUGAAACCGUGUGGCUAGAGUCCGGAAGAGGAGAGUGGAAUUCCCGGUGUAGCGGUGAAAUGCGAAGAUAUCGGGAAGAACACCCGUGGCGAAGGCGGCUCUCUGGGACGGUACUGACGCUGAGACGCGAAAGCGUGGGGAGCGAACAGG